Molecule: non-coding RNA, 87 nt
Filed under: Massilia sp. Root351
Lineage: Bacteria; Pseudomonadati; Pseudomonadota; Betaproteobacteria; Burkholderiales; Oxalobacteraceae
Also listed under: 1 other name
Description: c-di-GMP-I riboswitch aptamer
Rfam family: c-di-GMP-I riboswitch aptamer
About the family: GEMM was predicted in a large-scale screen for bacterial structured RNA regulatory elements.
Source: Rfam by way of RNAcentral
GUCUGAAAAAGGCAAACCCCGCGAAAGCGGGGGACGCAAAGUCAUCGGUCUAAAGGGUUCAUACCCCAUGACGGCAGGACUGCCAGG